UGCAACCCAUGCCCAUCAAGGUUGCCGGUCGCCGCCUUACUGUACCUAGUAACCUCGCUACUUCAUCAUGCUCGUCCACCGACUGCCUAAGGUGGAUCACCAUCAUUCCACCACUCAAUGCCGUUGACAUCCCCUCCUUUCCAUCCCGAUCGCCUCACCAUCGAUCAACCACCACCGAUCGCCUCACCAUCGAUCAACCACCACC
Molecule: long non-coding RNA, 205 nt
Filed under: Elaeis guineensis (African oil palm)
Lineage: Eukaryota; Viridiplantae; Streptophyta; Magnoliopsida; Arecales; Arecaceae
Description: long non-coding RNA (EGUI_LNC004353)
Source: RNAcentral